Asparagus officinalis (garden asparagus) is the source of this 655-nucleotide long non-coding RNA. RefSeq lists it as uncharacterized. The transcript is spliced from 4 exons. NCBI's taxonomy places the organism in Eukaryota, Viridiplantae, Streptophyta, Magnoliopsida, Asparagales, Asparagaceae. The record is from RefSeq and is a predicted model, not a curated record.
ACCCAUAUACCCGGUUCUUUUCCCCUUUCCUCACUUGAUCGGAGUGAAAAUGAGAGAGAGGGAGAGAAAAUCCCGUUCGAUGCCUCCUUCAAAAUUCCCGACUCUAUUCUCUCUCUCUCUCUCUCUCUCUCUCUCGAUCUCAAAUCUCCUUGAGCUCUCUCUCGUCAUUCUCUCGGAUCUCUCUCCCUCGACCUCUCUCGGAUCUCCUUCAUCCCCGCUGCCGGCAUCCCACCGCGCCACCACCGUUGCCGCCGCCUCCUAAAACUCAUCGAGGCAUCUUCAUCCACAUCAAAGUUGCAGAAGACUGUUUUUCCUGAACAUGGGUCAAGUUUUUGUAUGAAAACAUUCCAUUCUCAGAGAAUGAGCGUGAAAGUAUUAGGCUUUUGAUUCAAAGCAGUAUAUAUAGCUAUCUGGGUGUACCACUUGAGGGCCGUGAACGGUUUGAAGAAGAGGCUUUGGCUGAGUAAAAGAAGAAACGACCUUGUGAUAGGACAGGGGAUGAAGGAUGCGAGAUUGAUGUUUUGAUGGGCUCACUAAAGUCAAAAACCAAGGACUUCGGCAUAUUUUUCCCUCUCUUUGGUUAAGAUUAUCUAUAUGAAAUUAAUUGUAAUAGACUUUGUUGGUUAAGAUCUUCUAUAUGAAAUUGAUUGUAAUA